Molecule: non-coding RNA, 84 nt
Organism: Flagelloscypha sp. PMI_526
Lineage: Eukaryota; Fungi; Basidiomycota; Agaricomycetes; Agaricales; Niaceae
Source: the annotation of a GenBank genome assembly
GCUCUUAUAGUGUAGAGGCUAUCACACGGGAUUUUGAAGCUUGCUCACUUUCCCGUAACCCAGGUUCGAACCCUGGUAGGAGCU